CCUACGGGAGGCUGCAGUGAGGAAUAUUGGUCAAUGGACGAGAGUCUGAACCAGCCAAGUAGCGUGAAGGAUGACUGCCCUAUGGGUUGUAAACUUCUUUUAUAUGGGAAUAAAACGUUCCACGUGUGGGAUUUUGUAUGUACCAUAUGAAUAAGUAUCGGCUAACUCCGUGCCAGCAGCCGCGGUAAUACGGAGGAUCCGAGCGUUAUCCGGAUUUAUUGGGUUUAAAGGGAGCGUAGGUGGAUUGUUAAGUCAGUUGUGAAAGUUUGCGGCUCAACCGUAAAAUUGCAGUUGAAACUGGCAGUCUUGAGUACAGUAGAGGUGGGCGGAAUUCGUGGUGUAGCGGUGAAAUGCUUAGAUAUCACGAAGAACUCCGAUUGCGAAGGCAGUUCACUGGACUGCAACUGACACUGAGGCUCGAAAGUGUGGGUAUCAAACAGGAUUAGAUACCCUUGUAGUC
Molecule: ribosomal RNA, 460 nt
Filed under: uncultured bacterium
Lineage: Bacteria
Description: partial 16S ribosomal RNA
Rfam family: Bacterial small subunit ribosomal RNA
Source: RNAcentral